RNAcentral lists this unclassified non-coding RNA (222 nucleotides) under Hevea brasiliensis (rubber tree). Lineage: Eukaryota; Viridiplantae; Streptophyta; Magnoliopsida; Malpighiales; Euphorbiaceae. The record is from RNAcentral.
GUUAAAUUACAUUAAUUAGCCAAAAAAAGUAAAGACAGUGAGAAAGAGCAGAAGGAAAAGGUCUGAAUUAGUCAUAAUUGUAAAUACAAAUGCUAUGCAAAACAUCUGAUAUAGAGGAAAUUUGGUUCAGGGAAAUCUACAUAACCACACUAAACCCUUGAUUUUGAAGGCACUUCAAAAUCCAGACAAUAUGAACAUUUCAAAAUCCUUAGUAGUCAAUGA